This 72-nucleotide transfer RNA is filed under the name Candidatus Omnitrophota bacterium. RNAcentral's name for it is "Candidatus Omnitrophica bacterium tRNA-Cys". It matches the Rfam family "tRNA". Rfam says of the family: Transfer RNA (tRNA) molecules are approximately 80 nucleotides in length. Their secondary structure includes four short double-helical elements and three loops (D, anti-codon, and T loops). Further hydrogen bonds mediate the characteristic L-shaped molecular structure. tRNAs have two regions of fundamental functional importance: the anti-codon, which is responsible for specific mRNA codon recognition, and the 3' end, to which the tRNAs corresponding amino acid is attached (by aminoacyl-tRNA synthetases). tRNAs cope with the degeneracy of the genetic code in two manners: having more than one tRNA (with a specific anti-codon) for a particular amino acid; and 'wobble' base-pairing, i.e. permitting non-standard base-pairing at the 3rd anti-codon position. The record is from RNAcentral. Lineage: Bacteria; Pseudomonadati; Candidatus Omnitrophota.
GGCGCGGUAGCCAAGAGGAAAGGCGGCGGUCUGCAAAACCGCUAUUCGCCGGUUCGAGUCCGGCCCGCGCCU